UACGGAGGGUGCAAGCGUUAUCCGGAAUUAUUGGGCGUAAAGCGUCCGCAGGUGGUUUAUUAAGUCGGGUAUUAAAGACGGCAGCUCAACUGUCGCGCUGUAUCCGAUACUGGUAAACUAGAGCGUUGGAGAGGUGAGCAGAAUUCUGCAUGUAGGGGUAAAAUCCGUAGAUAUGCAGAGGAAUACCAAAAGCGAAGGCAGCUCACUGGCCAACAGCUGACACUCAUGGACGAAAGCGUGGGGAGCAAACAGG
This 253-nucleotide unclassified non-coding RNA is filed under the name uncultured Candidatus Altimarinota bacterium. RNAcentral describes it as "uncultured Candidatus Gracilibacteria bacterium contains 16S-23S intergenic spacer region". It matches the Rfam family "Bacterial small subunit ribosomal RNA", at positions 524 to 776 of the family's 1533-position model. Lineage: Bacteria; Candidatus Altimarinota. The record is from RNAcentral.